RNAcentral lists this ribosomal RNA (467 nucleotides) under uncultured bacterium. RNAcentral's name for it is "partial 16S ribosomal RNA". It matches the Rfam family "Bacterial small subunit ribosomal RNA", at positions 28 to 507 of the family's 1533-position model. The record is from RNAcentral.
GACGAACGCUGGCGGCGUGCCUAACACAUGCAAGUCGAACGGAAAGGCCUCUUUCGGGGGGUACUCGAGUGGCGAACGGGUGAGUAACACGUGAGUAACCUGCCCUUGACUUUGGGAUAACUUCAGGAAACUGGGGCUAAUACCGGAUAGGAGCUCCUGCUGCAUGGUGGGGGUUGGAAAGUUUCGGCGGUUGGGGAUGGACUCGCGGCUUAUCAGCUUGUUGGUGGGGUAGUGGCUUACCAAGGCUUUGACGGGUAGCCGGCCUGAGAGGGUGACCGGCCACAUUGGGACUGAGAUACGGCCCAGACUCCUACGGGAGGCAGCAGUGGGGAAUAUUGCACAAUGGGUGGAAGCCUGAUGCAGCAACGCCGUGUGCGGGAUGACGGCCUUCGGGUUGUAAACCGCUUUCGCUCAUGACGAAGCUUUGUGUGACGGUAGUGGGUAAAGAAGCACCGGCUAACUACGUG